CUGAGUGGGUAGAGGAGUGGUUUGGUGUUUGAAGCGUUUCUUUCUCUUUUUGCUCUCUCUCUCUCUCUCUCGCGUCGACGAUGAAACGGCGAAUCAGUGGCUUACUGCAACGUUUCUAUGGUUUCUUCUCUCCCGCUCUCUCGUUCUGAUUCGCGGCGAUGGUGUUUUUUCUCCCCGGUGACUUUCAACGACGAAUACGAGAAGGAGGGCAUGCGCGAGUACUCUGCAACCGCCGGUUUGGGAUGUACUGCUGCGAGAUCACCGGCGUGGAUGCCAAGAUGAAAGAUGGAGUCUUGAAGGUUCUCAUUACCCCUCGUCCCAACACCACCACCAACGAGUUGAAAUCGUUGAAAACGUUGUGACUAUGAUGGAGGUUGAAGAAGAGAGUGAAAAGGAAGUGUCUUUAGAUGAUGUUAAUCUGCAAAAUGGGUGGUGGAUGAUGAUUCUCAAGCUGAUAAGAGAAGUUCACUCCAUGUGACUGAUGUCUGCAGUUUUGAAGCAUAUAGAAAGGCAUUCAAGAGUGCUGAGAACCGGAGUUUUAAACUGAAAGCCAGAGGCUUUGGUGAUGCUUUGAAAGAAAGGUGUCGUGGUUUGUUGUGAAGCUUGCGUUCUGUUUUCAUACCAGAUGAAGACCUAGUUGAGGUUUCACUAUCUUUCUUGUUUCUUUAUAGUUUGUGGCUUUAGUUUGUAAGUUUACCGAUGCAUAUGGAGAGAGACGUCUUGAAUAAGAUUUCGGUUUGGCUUUUGUGAUAACUUGUUCAGUGGCGGCUUUGGCCGCUGGCUCUGAGUUUACUUGUGCAGUGGCCGCUUUGAUUGCUGGCUCUAGCUCAGGUUCUGGUUCAUCGACGAUGGUGGUUGUAGCUGCUUCUGCUGCUACUGGUGCUGGUGCGGGAAGACCUUUGCUGCUUACUGGUGUGGGAGAUGUUGGAGGCUUCAAGUAUGGGUACUGCAAACAUAGUGAAGAAGAGAAAGAGAGAGAGAGAGAUACAUCAGAUUAGAAAACACUCAUGUGAUCAAUGGUUGUCUUAACAUUGCUUCUUUGUGUUAAAUAAUGUAAGAGAGGUUUCAGGGGGAGUGUAUAAACUUCACCGAUGCAUAUGGAGAUAAUGGUCUUGGAUAAGGUUUCGGUUUGGCUUCUGUUUUUGUUGGUUCUGUGAUUACUUGUUCCGUAGCAGCUUCGGUCGCUGGAUAUAUGGUUACUUGUGCAGUGGCGGCUUUAAUUGCUGGCUCAGGUUCUUUUUCAUCCACGGUGGUGGUUGUAGCUGCUUCUGCUGCUGGUGGGGGAAGAGCUUUGCUGCUUGUUGAUAGAGGAAGAAAAGCCUUUCCUAUGUCCUGUGUUAAUUCAAUGUUAUAGAAACGGUUUCAUUACUAAUUUCAUAAUGUUGGCUUUAGUUUUCUGUUGGUUUGUGAUUAUGAACUAAUAGAGGAGAUGAUGCAAUUUUUUUAA
Long non-coding RNA from Brassica oleracea var. oleracea, 1447 nucleotides. RefSeq lists it as uncharacterized. The record is from RefSeq and is a predicted model, not a curated record. The transcript is spliced from 2 exons. NCBI's taxonomy places the organism in Eukaryota, Viridiplantae, Streptophyta, Magnoliopsida, Brassicales, Brassicaceae.